CCGCUGGUGGUCUAGUUGGUUUAUGGCACCCGGCUGUAAUGUGAAACAUCAAGCUCACCGGGUUGUCGCUGGUUCGACUCCAGCCCAGCGGA
Monascus purpureus is the source of this 92-nucleotide non-coding RNA. NCBI's taxonomy places the organism in Eukaryota, Fungi, Ascomycota, Eurotiomycetes, Eurotiales, Aspergillaceae. The record is from the annotation of a GenBank genome assembly.